UGAGAUGGGCUCGCGUCUGAUUAGCUAGUUGGUGGGGUAAAGGCCUACCAAGGCGACGAUCAGUAGCCGGACUGAGAGGUUGAACGGCCACAUUGGGACUGAGACACGGCCCAGACUCCUACGGGAGGCAGCAGUGGGGGAUAUUGCACAAUGGGGGAAACCCUGAUGCAGCAACGCCGCGUGAGUGAUGAAGGUUUUCGGAUCGUAAAGCUCUGUCUUUGGGGAAGAUAAUGACGGUACCCAAGGAGGAAGCCACGGCUAACUAC
RNAcentral lists this ribosomal RNA (266 nucleotides) under uncultured bacterium. RNAcentral's name for it is "partial 16S ribosomal RNA". It matches the Rfam family "Bacterial small subunit ribosomal RNA", at positions 221 to 504 of the family's 1533-position model. The record is from RNAcentral.